GUGUUCACUUCAGCAGCACAUAUACAAAAAUCAUAACAAUACAAAGAUUAGUGUGGCCCCGUCCAAGGAUAACACGCAAAUUAGUGAAAUAUUCCAUUUGUGU
Neomonachus schauinslandi (Hawaiian monk seal) is the source of this 103-nucleotide small nuclear RNA. The record is from RefSeq and is a predicted model, not a curated record. Lineage: Eukaryota; Metazoa; Chordata; Mammalia; Carnivora; Phocidae.